Molecule: ribosomal RNA, 308 nt
Filed under: uncultured bacterium
Lineage: Bacteria
Description: partial 16S ribosomal RNA
Rfam family: Bacterial small subunit ribosomal RNA
Source: RNAcentral
GAGACAGCAGUAGCCGCGGGAACACGAAGGGUGCAAGCGUUAAUCGGAAUUACUGGGCGUAAAGCGUGCGUAGGCGGUUUGUUAAGUCUGUUGUGAAAUCCCCGGGCUCAACCUGGGAAUGGCAAUGGAUACUGGCAAGCUAGAGUGUGUCAGAGGAUGGUGGAAUUCCCGGUGUAGCGGUGAAAUGCGUAGAGAUCGGGAGGAACAUCAGUGGCGAAGGCGGCCAUCUGGGACAACACUGACGCUGAGGCACGAAAGCGUGGGGAGCAAACAGGAUUAGAGACCCCGGUAGUCCCUGUCUCUUAUAC